UGCAAGUCGAGCGCACCUUCGGGUGAGCGGCGGACGGGUGAGUAACGCGUGGGAAUAUACCCUUUGGUACGGAAUAGCCUCUGGAAACGGAGAGUAAUACCGUAUGUGCCCUUCGGGGGAAAGAUUUAUCGCCAAAGGAUUAGCCCGCGUUGGAUUAGGUAGUUGGUGGGGUAAUGGCCUACCAAGCCGACGAUCCAUAGCUGGUUUGAGAGGAUGAUCAGCCACACUGGGACUGAGACACGGCCCAGACUCCUACGGGAGGCAGCAGUGGGGAAUCUUGGACAAUGGGGGAAACCCUGAUCCAGCCAUGCCGCGUGAGUGACGAAGGCCCUAGGGUCGUAAAGCUCUUUCGCUGGGGAAGAUAAUGACGGUACCCAGUAAAGAAACCCCGGCUAACUCCGUGCCAGCAGCCGCGGUAAUACGGAGGGGGUUAGCGUUGUUCGGAAUUACUGGGCGUAAAGCGCACGUAGGCGGAUCGGAAAGUUAGAGGUGAAAUCCCAGGGCUCAACCCUGGAACUGCCUUUAAAACUAUCGGUCUAGAGUUCGAGAGAGGUGAGUGGAAUUCCGAGUGUAGAGGUGAAAUUCGUAGAUAUUCGGAGGAACACCAGUGGCGAANGCGGCUCACUGGCUCGAUACUGACGCUGANGUGCGAAAGUGUGGGGAGCAAACAGGAUUAGAUACNCUGGUAGUCCACACCGUAAACGAUGAAUGCCAGACGUCGGGUAGCAUGCUAUUCGGUGUCACACCUAACGGNNUAAGCAUUCCGCCUGGGNNGUANNGUCGCAAGAUUAAAACUCAAANGAAUUGANGGNNCCGCACAAGCGGUGGANCAUGUNGUUUAAUU
RNAcentral lists this ribosomal RNA (844 nucleotides) under uncultured bacterium. Its description in RNAcentral is "bacterial SSU rRNA". It matches the Rfam family "Bacterial small subunit ribosomal RNA", at positions 56 to 951 of the family's 1533-position model. The record is from RNAcentral.